CGGCAGCACGGGGGCAACCCUGGUGGCGAGUGGCGAACGGGUGAAUAAUACAUCGGAACGUGUCCUGUAGUGGGGGAUAGCCCGGCGAAAGCCGGAUUAAUACCGCAUACGAUCUACGGAAGAAAGCGGGGGAUCCUUCGGGACCUCGCGCUAGAGGGGCGGCCGAUGUCAGAUUAGCUAGUUGGUGGGGUAAAGGCCUACCAAGGCGACGAUCUGUAGCUGGUCUGAGAGGACGACCAGCCACACUGGGACUGAGACACGGCCCAGACUCCUACGGGAGGCAGCAGUGGGGAAUUUUGGACAAUGGGCGCAAGCCUGAUCCAGCCAUUCCGCGUGCAGGAUGAAGGCCCUCGGGUUGUAAACUGCUUUUGGACGGAACGAAAAGGCCUUUUCUAAUACAGAGGGCUCAUGACGGUACCGUCAGAAUAAGCACCGGCUAACUACGUGCCAGCAGCCGCGGUAAUACGUAGGGUGCAAGCGUUAAUCGGAAUUACUGGGCGUAAAGCGUGCGCAGGCGGUUUGUAAGACUGUCGUGAAAUCCCCGGGCUCACCUGGGAAUGGCGAUGGUGACUGCAGGCUAGAGUUUGGCAAGGGGGGUA
RNAcentral lists this ribosomal RNA (599 nucleotides) under uncultured Burkholderia sp. RNAcentral describes it as "bacterial SSU rRNA". It matches the Rfam family "Bacterial small subunit ribosomal RNA", at positions 67 to 662 of the family's 1533-position model. Lineage: Bacteria; Pseudomonadati; Pseudomonadota; Betaproteobacteria; Burkholderiales; Burkholderiaceae. The record is from RNAcentral.